UAAGAAAGGAAAUAUAAAUUAUAAAU
This 26-nucleotide non-coding RNA is filed under the name Drosophila melanogaster (fruit fly). Lineage: Eukaryota; Metazoa; Arthropoda; Insecta; Diptera; Drosophilidae. The record is from RNAcentral.